AUCGCUUCUCUGACUUUUGGCUAAGAUCAAGUGUAGUAUCUGUUCUUAUCAGGCAGUCCACUGGUAGGAAUGGAUGGCUACAUGGAGGAGCAGCUGUACAGGGGCCACAGGACACACUCAACGGCUGCCCUGAUGUGACCUGUUUCCUCCGGGUCUCACCAUGAGGCUGGGAGGGUCUAGAG
Molecule: small nuclear RNA, 182 nt
Organism: Hyla sarda
Lineage: Eukaryota; Metazoa; Chordata; Amphibia; Anura; Hylidae
Product: U2 spliceosomal RNA
Exons: 1
Source: RefSeq, a predicted model, not a curated record